AUGAACGCUGGCGGCGUGCUUCACACAUGCAAGUCGAACGAAGCAUUUAAGACAGAUUACUUCGGUUUGAAGUCUUUUAUGACUGAGUGGCGGACGGGUGAGUAACGCGUGGGUAACCUGCCUCAUACAGGGGGAUAGCAGCUGGAAACGGCUGGUAAUACCGCAUAAGCACACAGUACCACAUGGUACAGUGUGAAAAACUCCGGUGGUAUGAGAUGGACCCGCGUCUGAUUAGCUUGUUGGCGGGGUAACGGCCCACCAAGGCGACGAUCAGUAGCCGACCUGAGAGGGUGACCGGCCACAUUGGGACUGAGACACGGCCCAGACUCCUACGGGAGGCAGCAGUGGGGAAUAUUGCACAAUGGAGGAAACUCUGAUGCAGCGACGCCGCGUGAGUGAAGAAGUAGUUCGCUAUGUAAAGCUCUAUCAGCAGGGAAGAUAGUGACGGUACCUGACUAAGAAGCUCCGGCUAAAUACGUG
RNAcentral lists this ribosomal RNA (480 nucleotides) under uncultured bacterium. RNAcentral's name for it is "partial 16S ribosomal RNA". It matches the Rfam family "Bacterial small subunit ribosomal RNA", at positions 29 to 507 of the family's 1533-position model. The record is from RNAcentral.